GGGGCUGAUACUGAAAAGGAUAAAGCAGGAAUGAACGUCAGAGUGUUUGCUGGACUAGCGGGAGUAGCAGCCAGUCCCAUCGCAGGAGGGUGUGACCAGCACAAGAGCUCUGAAAUGAAUCCUUUUUCACAUCGAGGUUUGAGUAGAUCAGGGUUUUUGGAGCUGAUGCUGAAAAAGAUAAAGCAGGAAUGAAGAAGUGAUCUUCAGAGGUGAGCACAGAGCUGCACUUAUACUCUAAAUAAAUAUCUCACUUUGACUAAAAUAAACUGUGGGAAAACAUCAAGUCAAACU
Molecule: long non-coding RNA, 291 nt
Organism: Colossoma macropomum (tambaqui)
Lineage: Eukaryota; Metazoa; Chordata; Actinopteri; Characiformes; Serrasalmidae
Exons: 3
Source: RefSeq, a predicted model, not a curated record